Molecule: long non-coding RNA, 591 nt
Organism: Pseudophryne corroboree (corroboree frog)
Lineage: Eukaryota; Metazoa; Chordata; Amphibia; Anura; Myobatrachidae
Exons: 3
Source: RefSeq, a predicted model, not a curated record
AGAUUCCACAGUUAAGGCAAAGAGAAGAGUUUCUUUUGGAUAUCCGACAACUGGAGGAGGUGCUGAGGAUACCGAAACCCAGAUACAGCAUACAAUAUUGCCGAUUGAUUCAACACUGCAAGCAGCGACACUUCAAGCAGAAUCAGCCCAGAUGCACCCACCCACGGUGCAGGAAGAAACAUCAUCCCAACAGCCACUUCCAGAAGAAAAUUCAUCACAGGGGCACCCACAGACACUGCCAGAAGAGUCCUUUUCACAGAGCUACCCUGCAAUUGGAGACCAUAAUCUUGUUGAAAGAACAGAGCAAAUUCCGGACAUGGAAACUUCAGGCAGUGUACCAGAAGUCCUUGAAUCAAAAACACCGGAAACUACGCCAGGAGAGUCAUCACUCAAUCUAAUACUGGAAGCUUUAAAGAACAUGGACCAAUGUAGAGCUGAAGAAAGCCAAAGGAUUAAUAAUCGUUUGGACAACAUGGAACAGAACAUCGACCAUAUCAAGACAGCUGUUGUUCAACAAAAUGACGCAAUGAUAUCGCUGGCCCGAUACUACGAUCAACUUGUGUCAGCACAUAUGUCGGUGGUUGGACAUUG